Molecule: non-coding RNA, 2134 nt
Organism: Prunus avium (sweet cherry)
Lineage: Eukaryota; Viridiplantae; Streptophyta; Magnoliopsida; Rosales; Rosaceae
Source: RefSeq, a predicted model, not a curated record
CUUUAUUCAUUCACCCUCCCUGAUUGAUAAUGUGUGGCUGUAGGAAGGUAAAUUUAUUUGUUGCUCAAUUGCCCUAAACUAAUAUUGUAUCUUUUGCAGCUCUGAGAUGUCUAAGGAUCAAUUGGUUGUAGAUCUUACAUCACGCACAAAAGUACUACUCUGGAGUGGGAUUUUUCUUGGUUCAGUGUCAAUUGGAGUCCUUGCCUAUGCUGUUUCCAGGCUGGUGUGAGGGACAACUUCGUAUAAUACUGAAGUUUUGAAAUGACGUCACCAUCAAAGAAAAUAAAGGAAACAUUGUAUAUGAAAGGGACGGAGGAGUUGCAGGUGGCGCUGCAGAGUAUUUCUUAAAUGGUGAUUAUUUUUGGGGAUUUAGUAGCACUGGAGACUUCAUGGAUGACAAUGAUUUCCAAAAUACACGUUACUCUGUAUCUCUGGCAUCUUCAAAUCUCUCUGAUUUAUACACGACAGCACGCAUAUCCCCAAUUUCAAUCACAUAUUUCCAUUAUUGCUUAGAAAAUGACUAUACUGUAAGUCUUCACUUUGCGGAGAUACAGUUUACAAAUGACCAAACAUAUACGAGUCUUGGCAGACGCGUAUUUGAUAUCUAUGUUCGGGAAGAAGUAUUGCGAAGGGAUUUCAAUAUUGAAGAUGAGGCAAAGAUGGCUCAAAAGCCUGUAAUACUAGAACAUAAUGUCAGUGUAACAAAUAAUAUCUUAGAGAUCCGAUUCUAUUUUGCUGGUAAAGGGACAACAAGGAUCCCUGACAGAGGAGUCUAUGGUCCCCUUAUCUCUGCUAUUUCUGUGAAAUCUGAUUCCAAAGAUUGCUCAAAUGGUGAAAGCAAGGGAACUGCUCACAUUGUUGCUGGAGCUGUAGUAGGAGCAUUUGGCCUAGCGUUUGUUAUAUUAGGAAUCCUUUGGUGGAAAGGAUACAUGCCAGGCAAAAGGGGGAGAAAGAAAGAUAGAGAAGGACUUGAUGGGCAGACAGGGACUUUUACCUUAAGACAAUUAAAAGCUGCCACUAAUGACUUCGAUUCUGCUAACAAAAUCGGAGAAGGUGGUUUUGGUCCUGUGUACAAGGGUCAAUUGCCUGAUGCUACAGUGAUAGCCGUUAAGCAGCUUUCAUCCAAGUCAAGGCAGGGAAAUCGUGAAUUCUUAAAUGAGAUGGGCAUGAUUUCUUGUUUCCAGCACCCAAAUCUUGUGAAGCUUCAUGGAUGUUGUAUUGAUGGAGGUCAGCUAUUGCUGGUCUAUGAGUACAUGGAAAACAAUAACCUUGCACGAGCAUUGUUUGGUCGAGAAAAUCAUCUUAAACUGGACUGGCCAACAAGUCGUAAUAUUUGUAUUGGGAUAGCAAGAGGACUAGCUUUUCUCCAUGAAGAAUCUGUACUUAAAAUUGUUCACCGAGACAUCAAAGCUACUAAUGUGCUGCUUGAUCGGGACUUGAACCCUAAAAUAUCCGACUUUGGAUUAGCAAAGCUUGAUGAAGAGGAGAAGACGCACAUGAGCACCCGAGUUGCUGGGACCAUAGGAUACAUGGCACCAGAAUAUGCAUUAUGGGGUCACCUGACGUACAAAGCAGAUGUUUACAGUUUUGGAGUAGUGGCCUUGGAAAUUAUUAGUGGGAAGAACAACAAUAAUUAUAUCCCAAGUGAUGACUGGGUUUGCCUUUUAGAUUGGGCUUGUCAUUUGCAACAAACUGGAAACUUGUUGGAGCUAGUUGAUGAGUAGGGUCUGAGGUUGACCAAAAAGAAGCAGAGAUCAUGGUUAAAGUGGCUCUGAUUUGUACAAAUGCCUCUGCUUCGCUUAGGCCUAGCAUGUCCGAGGUGGUGAGCAUGCUUGAAGGACAAAUUCCUGUUCCUGACGUGAUCCCAGAAUCAAGUACCUAUAGAGAAGAUUUGAGGUUUAAGGCCAUGAGAGACCUCCACCGGCAGAGGCAAGAUCAUAGUUUAAGUAUCAGUCGAUCACAGCAUUCAACUACGGUCCACACAUUCGAGUCUACCUCUACCUCCGGCCUUGAAUUCUCUGAAAUCAAUCCAAACUCAACAUCAUCUUGACAGUUGUGGACAUUCUGGUUCUAUAGUAGCAAGUAUGUUGUAGUUUGUAGUCUUCGAAACACAUAUGCAGAUUAGCUGUGUCCA